AUGUGAGCCCUUGGACGAGGGGAGGGUCUCCCUCCCACUCCCCCCUGCCACAGUCCCCUCUCCCCUGCUCCCACACCUCCCGCCGGCCAAAUCCAUUGGAUAGGCCAGGAGAAAGCUAAAAAAGGAAUAACCCAAAGAAAAACAAACAAACAAACAAACAACAAAAAAACCACACCCCAAAUGGGAGUUGUUUUCAGCAGGCUUCACGAGCCAAACUGGCUGUCCAGGGGCUGAAAUACACCCUCGGCACAGGAUGACUGAGCAAGGCAACAUCCCAGCUCCCUCCCAGUCGGCUGGGGGGGCCGGAGCAAAGAGCCCUGACAGCCAACACCACCAGUGGGAAGGAGCAGGAGAGCUGGUUAUGGGAUUGGCAUUCCCAAAGGAAUGGCGGGCUGGCGAGGCGACGAGCCAAGAACCCCGUCUGCAUCACAGCGGAUACGGCGGUUAAGCGUGAAGGUGUCCACUUCUUUAUAAACAAAACUUGGGUUAGGAUGAGGGAAUUAAAAAAAAGAAAGACGCCCCGGAGUGAUUCCCAAGGUAAAUCUAAAUAUUUCCAGGUUUGCUCACCCCUGUGGGUUCGGUGUACGCUGUAGCUGCUCAACCCGUGGGGCGUUUCAAAGCACUCCACAAGCCUCUGUGCCAAAAUAAAUGUUACUUUACCACCAAGCAGGCAGAAGAAUGAAAGCACUAAGAUGUGUGAGUGAGAAAAAAAGAGCCCAAACAGGAAAAACGCUUUCUUCUGAUUUUAAAGUCCUGGAUGAUCAAGGCUGUUCUGCUCACUCUGAUGUAAUCUGUUUGCAGAUACCCAAAUACAUGUCCAGCCAUGGAAAGUGCUCUCCCUUUGAUUACAGCAAAAUCCUUUCUAAUUCUCUUUAAAUGUUCCAGGGCUUUUUGAAAUGAUUGCUAUCAAUGCCAACCAAAUGCUUUAGAUCUCUCUUUUUUUUUUUUAAUUCCCUGUCUUUAAACACUUGCCUUAUUUUUAUGAAGCCUGGUUACUGCUGUACAUGGUAAAAGUAUCUCAAAAAGAGAUCUGGUUUGCUUUAGCCUUUAUACCAUAUAGAGUUAGACACUUUAACCUUCUUCAUAUUUACUUAGUUACUUUAAUAUGAUUUCUGUAACUCCUAUACUUUCUUUUUUUCCAUAUAACUUAUUAAAUAUUUAUAACACGGUAGCCCAAACACAUCACGUAGGUCAGACUUUCAUUACAUUAGGCUAGCCAUAGCUAUCUAGUAAAUCGUAAGUCACAUUCUGUCUAAAAGUUAAAAAAACAGGAUUGUUCAGGUGAGCUCAGACUGAGUUUGUGAAGGGCUGGCUUAAAAAAAAAGCUAAGCUGGUUAAAACAAUAGAUAGACUUGUUUAACCAGAAAAUAAUAGAUCCCCUAAGGCAUUAGAUUUGCAGCAUCUACCACGGGUAGGAACAGUGCUACAUGGUCUGUUAUUCUCUUUGUGCUCUUUAGUUGCUCUGAGGUGGGUACACAACCAUCAUUCAGAGCAUUUUUCCAUUGCUAUGAUGCCUCCUCCAGCUCAGCUUUAAACAGGCGUUGAGAUGAGAUCUCCAAGUCCUCUACAAAUCCAUGAGAUUAAAAGAGAGCAAGAUUCAGGUCAGCUUUGGGGGUACGUUAUUCCACUUUGUUUUUUUAAUUUUUAGUAUUUAAUUAGAAGAUUAAAGGAGCAGGAAUCUAGAAGAAAUCUAGAAGAAAGGAGCAGAAUAUAGAAGGAAGAAACAAACAAACAAACAAGCGUGACUUGUAAGAAAGCCUCAAUGCCUGUCUUGUAGUUGCGCAUUUCACCUUGAAAUUAGUCAUAAAAUUUUACAAGCAAAAUAUUGUGCAAGCAGAUUUUUUUUCCUGGCCAUUUUAUUCAAUGCCUUUUGGAUCUCAUCAGCUUUUGUUGCAAGCCAAUGCUGCUUCUUCAUGCUGUACACUGUUUGAACAAAUGAUGUCCCAAACAGGACUAAGGGGAAGAAGACUCCUCCAUACCAUGCCCCACCACCAUGCCUGUGCCUGACAGAGGGACACAAGCAAUAUGCCUGGGAACUCAGCGCAGCAGUCAAGGGCUGUGGGUGCUGGUGACCCUGCUCAUGCCAUGUCAUGGCCUACAGCUCCUGCAGCUGCAAGAGUAGAAUCACAGAAUCAUCUCGGUUGGAAGACACCCUUGAGAUCAUUGAGUCCAACCAUAACUUAACUCUGGCACUAAACCAUGUCCCUAAGAAUCUCAUCUACACAUCUUUUAAACACCUCCAGGGAUGGUGAUUCAACCAUUUCCCUGGACAGUCGGUUCCAAUGCCCGACAACCCUUUCCGUGAAGAAAUUUUUCCUAAUAUCCAAUGCAAACCUCCCAUGGAGCAACCUGAGGCAAUUUCCUCUUGUCCUAUCACUUGCUACUUGGGAGAAGAGACCAAUCCCCUCCAUGCUACAACCUCCUUUCAGGUAGUUGUAGACAGCAAUAAGGUCUCCCCUCAGCCUCCUUUUCUCCAGGCUAAGCCACCCCAGUUCCCUCACCCACUUCUCAUCAGACUUGUGCUCCAGACCCCUCAAUGUGGAUGGUGCCGCUGUUUUUUGCAUGGCCAUAUCUCCCUUCAGUCCAUCCCCUUACAGAGCCAUGGCCAGGAACCUUUUAUCCUCAGUCCCCUGCUGCAGUUCCAGUGCCCCACACCCCCCAUCCCAGUAUGAUACUAGGUGCCUGGCUAUAAAAAAACACCCCCCCUACCCCAGCUAAGUCCACCCCACCUCAGUGUGCCUGCCUGGAGUGACGGUGAGAUCUCCAGCGCCCGAUCCCUUCUGUCCUCAGGCAGGUUUGCAUAUAUGUGCGCUGGGUUCCCAGACCUGACAUCAAGCUCAGAAGGAAAAAAAACCCCUCUUCCAAGCUUCCCAACAGGAUCAGUUUUGCAGCUCAUGUUCUUUCACGCACUAUUUGUUAUGCUGUUAUUAAAGAACAUCUUGCCGACAACUGGAGAAGAAAUACGCUCCCCCAACUGCGAUGCUUCCUCUGCCCAGCUCUGGAGCAGGAACCAGGUGGCUGGGGCUGAGAGUGGCUGCCUCUCACCCACCUUCCUCCAGAUAAACUUUCCCUUUAGCAUGAAAAAUGUUCAUUUUUUCUUCCUCUUUCUUCUUGCUGUCAACACUACUUGGAAUGCUAGAAUGAGAGACAUUCAUGUUUCGGAUUUUUUUUAAACUUCUUUUCUCUUUUAAACUCCUCUUCUUCUCCUUCCCCACUCUUCCUCCUUUCCCUAGCUCCCUUAAUUUUACCCUAUCCUGCCUUCCCCACUCUGGAAAAAACAUAUAUGAAACUCUAUAAUUGCCUGUGUGGUUUCAAAAAUAAAACCAGGACUAAUCAAAAAAGAUGGUGAAAUUCUUCAUUUGGGAGGAAGGCAGGAGGAUUUCUUCUUCUUCUGCUGCUGCAAAUUCUUGCUCGGUUGUAGGGCUGGGUUUUUUGCUUCCCUGGUUAGUUUUCAGAGUUAAUGCUGGUAUUUAACACACUGAGUUGCAUGUUCGAGGUGUGCCUGCCCUGGUUUCAUGAUUUAGGCUGCAAAGCAUCAGGGCUCCACAGCACUAAGGUCCUCAGGUCCACAGCUGGCACAAAAGCCCAUGUCACGAUGACACCUGUGUGAACCACGCAACACAAAAGUGCCAGUGCACAUUAUACGGUGUGAGUAUACAUAGAGAAACUGCAUGUUUGCAUUUCAUCAGCUACAGGUGUCAAAGCAGGGCUAA
Long non-coding RNA from Columba livia (rock pigeon), 3713 nucleotides. RefSeq lists it as uncharacterized. The record is from RefSeq and is a predicted model, not a curated record. Lineage: Eukaryota; Metazoa; Chordata; Aves; Columbiformes; Columbidae. The transcript has 3 exons.